GUGUCAGCCGCCGCGGUAACACGGGGGGAGCAAGCGUUGUUCGGAAUCACUGGGCGUAAAGGGCGUGUAGGCGGUCUGGUAAGUGGGAUGUGAAAGCCCCCGGCUCACCCGGGGAUCUGCAUUCCAAACUGCCAGACUUGAGUAUGGGAGAGGACAGGGGAAUUCCUGGUGUAGCGGUGAAAUGCGUAGAUAUCAGGAGGAACACCGGUGGCGAAGGCGCCUGUCUGGCCCAAUACUGACGCUGAGGCGCGAAAGCUAGGGGAGCAAACGGGAUUAGAAACCCCAGUAGUCC
This 292-nucleotide ribosomal RNA is filed under the name uncultured bacterium. RNAcentral's name for it is "partial 16S ribosomal RNA". It matches the Rfam family "Bacterial small subunit ribosomal RNA", at positions 505 to 796 of the family's 1533-position model. The record is from RNAcentral.